CAGACAUGCCUCUUUGACACAGCAGAAACACAAACAGAGUCAGCACUGGAGAAUGUCACAGAACAGGUUGGUUCUUCCAGGUUUUUCUGUCUGUGUUUGCUGCAUGAUCACAUGGAAAAAAGCCGAGUCUUUGCCACAGAGUCAGGAGGACAGUGGUGUUAUCUGAUGUGGAUUCUUAAGAGACUUUCCAUAAGGGUAUGUGUUGUGUAAAUGUUCAUUAUUAGCAGUCUCGGGUUUAAGCUCGGCACAGACGACACGGAACGUCAACCGAAACAUUUGCUCAGUCUGACUGUGGAGAGCACUCGCGGUCAGCAAUGGGUGGCUCCACCUCAAAGAGAGCCCUUUUUUGGCCAAAGAAGAAGAAAUCUCCUCUGAAAAAGACCUGGAGUCAACUGAAGAGGGUGCUGCCUCAUAAGAAACGCAAGAAGAACGCUCUGUCGCUGGAAAAACUGAGUGUGAAAAAGUCGAGGAAGGACAAGCAUUCCAAGAAGAAACCGUCACUGAUAGCAAACAAGAAAGUGCCGACAUUGCUGAAAAGACUCUCUGUGGAUAACACAAAAAAAGAGACGAGUCAAACUGAUUCACCGGGAAGGAAGGAGAAGGACAAAGGGGGGCUGGAAAGAGUAGGAGAGCAAAUAAAAAAGAAAUUUUCCAAGGAUGAGAAGAAAGACAUUAUCAGUCAGACAGACACUGUUCCUCUUGCUGAGGAAAAUAAGGCAAAUGACCCAACAAGCGACACAAAGGUGCCUAAAAAGAAACUCAGUGUGAUCAUAAGAUCCAUUCAUCCAGCUGCAAACAGAUAACAACCACCUCGAAUCUGACAGGAAGAUGUGACAACUCUGCAAACAGGCCACAGGACAGUCAGGAAGAUACACGUUUUUAAUGACGUCACUCAGAGAGCAGAUUAUAACGGCAACAGUGUUACAGCCAUGAACGCUUCUUCUUUUAAACAUGUCAGCUUCCCCCAAUGUCAAUAUUAAUCCGCUGCAAUAUUUUACUCAAAAGCUUUAUUCACACUUUACUCAGCAAUAAAAACGUGUGUGGAUUAUCAUCCUA
Long non-coding RNA from Oreochromis aureus, 1056 nucleotides. RefSeq lists it as uncharacterized. The transcript has 2 exons. Lineage: Eukaryota; Metazoa; Chordata; Actinopteri; Cichliformes; Cichlidae. The record is from RefSeq and is a predicted model, not a curated record.